UCGGCACUAUUUUUUUCUGCACAGCGCAAAUCAAAUGACAUCAUGAAUUUCUCUAAACCUCGAGGGUGACACAGCCCUUUGGAAUCCAGUGCUGUGAGCGCUCAGUGCUUGUGAGUAGCCGGGCUGCGUCCCUGCCUCCCCAACUCAGGCAGAGCAGAGGCCUCAGGCUUUCAGGGAGUGAACAGGAAGGAAAACACAGGAGCCAGCAGAUACCGAGAAAGCGUCUGCUGAGUUUGAGUCCUGGCCCAGUGGGUUGUGCCAGCAGGAAAGUGACUUCCAUGGGACGAGGCGUAUCACCUGCACCCAAGGCGCAGGGAGCGGUGGUCACAUUUCGUGCACCUAGAGAUUCUUGGGGACCCUCAAGAGCUGCGUCUCCUCUCGUCCUGAUGGCACCUGGUGCAGCAUGACUUCUGGACACAUCCCUGGGAUGCCAGUGAGAUUUCUGCCCAUCAAGGGCGCCCAGGAAAAUCCAGCCAGAAGGAAGAGAGCUAAGCACACAAGGAUCCAAGGAUCUGAGCAGGCCCCGCCCGACUCAGGGACAUGGACCCUCGGCCUUGCUGAUGAACACCUGCCCCCACACUGCCUCUCCUGCCUGAGCUUCUUUCCAAAGACCCAGCGCACACAAGACUUCACUCGUGUGUGUCGUGUGUUGUGGGACAAGACCCACUGCAGGCCUGGCAUCAUCCACACGGAGCCACUGAGAGCAUGAGCAAGAGGCUGGGCCCAACCAGAGAAGGCGCCCAGCAUGGAUGUCUAGCUGCCAUACCAGCCAGGCCGUCCAAGUGGGGAGUGGACAGAUAAAGGCACUGGCAGGUGUUUCCCGAGGUCCCUGCCCACCUGGACAAACAGAACAAUGGCAGGAUGGAUGGACAGUUCCACCAGGACUGUGUCCCCAGAAGCUGCGGCUCCCUGGUUGUCAUCAGGGUCUCUCCACGUGGAUGUGUCCAGCCAGAUCUGUGGGGAAUUAUGCUUGGUCCAGCUGGCAUGUUCUCGUUGUCCUCUGACCCCGCAGGGCCCCAGAAAUCCCGAGGUCCUCAGUUCUAAUCCCACGACGCAGGCCCCGGGGAUGGAGCCCCCUCUGCUCUCCAGUCCCGCCCCUCCCAAGUGAACCAGCGGAGGGCUUUGGAGGCCACAGGCAAAGCUCGCCUGCACUUGGGCACAUCCCUGUGGAGUGUCAAGCGACCCACUCAAGAGCCGCAUUCCAGCCCUCUCAUGGCAGCUGGCCUGUCCCUGUGUGGGGACUCGGCACGGGACGUGGUAUUUAUAGUCCGCAUCGCGGGUCCCGCCUCACCACGCGUUUCUGCAGCAGGAGAGAGCGAGCCACAUGGAUCCCGACCGUGAAUGAAUAAGACUCCUUCCCUUGCCCAUUAGCCCCGGAGUCAGCCUUUGGUCAUCUAAGGCAAGUCCUUGUCCACAGCAAACCAACCAAGCGCCACCUCAGGAAGCCACUUUUUGCAACAGUCUUCACAUGUGGAUGAUACAAAGGCAUUUGAAAAGUCAGGAUCAAUGACCACUCUGCUGCCACGAUUUCCCCCUUUCCGCAUGGAUGUUGACCCUUCAGAAGUUUGGUUGUGUUAGGACGGCGUGCCAUCUCCUCCCUGAGGUCCCGCUGCCCUCCAUCCAGAAGGCGGGCUCCAUGGACACGCCCUAUACUCUGCUUUUCACUGAGAGUGGGCAGCAGGUUCACCCAAGAGCUGUGAGCAAAUCCGCUGAGGGACUGGCUCCCUCCACCCCCAGGGUUCCAUCCUUCAAGCCCACGAUGGCUUUCCUGCUCCAUCCACGGUUGGGCUCGCAGGGUGGGUCAACUGCACUGUGCGGUGGAAUCCUGUCUCCCAGCUGUAACCUGUCACCUGCCCCAUGACCUGCACGGCCUCCCCGAUCUGCUCACAUCAGUGUUUACAGACUGUGUUCUGCUCCACAGAAAGGAGUGUCCCGUGGUUGAAUACUUAUGGAAGCCUCUGGAGAUUAUAGUCCCCUGUAAGAGAUCCAGAAAGCGUACUCAAAAUGCACAGAACUCCCGCCGCACGGAAGCCCGUUCACAUUCGUGUCACCCCACACGUCCUGGGGGUCUUUGGACUGGAGCCAUCUUGCCCGUCUGCCCCAAGAGGGUGCCUCUCUGCCCACCGCGCCUCCCUCUCUGGCCCUGCUCUUCCAGCCUGAAAAGUCAGCCCACACCUCUUUCCCCAUAAAUCUUCCCCUCCUUUCACUGCCGACCGUGCACUCCCUCACAUUCCCUCAGCUCUCAAGGUCCCUGUAACACGAUGUACCAUCCGAUCUGAGAUGCAUGUUUUAUGGACGUUGGGCCAAGAGUCCUUUGAAAGUGGGAGUCACGUUCUGUUCCUUCCCUGUGCCUGGACCAGCACGGAGCAGGCACAGACCGGCCAGCACUCCUCAGCUGCUGGACCUUUUCCCAAUGCUUAGUCGCUCGGCGUCCCUCCUCCUGGAUGGCUUGGCUGGGUUUGCUCAUUAGUGCCUCUACCAGGGAUGAAGGGCGGGGGAUGAAAGGCAGAGCUGGCGCCCUGUGUCAUUAGCCAACUCCUAACAUGGUGCAGGGGUUUGCUUGGCCAAAGGGAAUUGUUUGUAUAUUUCUGUAUUUGAAGAGCCGAAGGAGAAAUUUCCUCUCCAGUGUGUGUCUGUGUGUCUGUCUGUGUCUGUGUAUAUGUGUGUCUCUGUCUGUAUAUCUACAGAUGUAUGUAUGUCUAUGUUAUGUCUGUAUACGUGUCUGCGUACAUGUCUAUGUAAGUGUGUACGUAUGUCUGCACAUGUCCAUGUGUGUCUCUGGAUAUUUGUGUGUGUCUGUUAUGUCUGUGUAUGUGUGUCUCUGUCUGUGUCUGUGUGUCUCUGAAUGACUCUGUGUAUGUAUGUUUAUGGAUGCAUGUUGUAUAUGUCUCUAGGCUUCUUUGUGUGUCUGUAUAUGUGUGUGUGUUUGUAGAUGUGUGUGUGCAUGGAUGUGGUGUCUACACUCAUGUGAACCCAGGGCACCCACAGUUGGUCCAGCCUACUCUCUGACACAGGACACCUGAGUCUUGCAGGCAUCCUGAGUGUCCUCAGUGAUGGCCAUGUCGUCGCAGCUUCCCCAUCCUCCCGGCCUCUGUCCCCUGGGUUUUCCACUGCACCACGGUGUCCAGACCCUGGAGCAGUAGGACACUGAGUUUCAACAUGUCCUCCAACUGCAGCCCACCGCUUGCAGCCUGGAGGGGACAGCCCAGCUGAGUUGCAUCUCUGCAUGUCCCAGGAACCCGGCCUGGCUCCAGAGCCAGCCCUGCCAGUUCUGUGGGGAGAUGCCUCUAGAAAUGUCACAACCAGCAUGUCACUGGCUUCUCCACCUCCUUUGCUUUCUAGACCAAAUGAUGACCAGACGUGGGCCUGGGCCACUCAGCUCUUCAGAGGCUCUGGGCCUUGCCCGCACCAAUUCACCGAGUGGGAAGCCCUGGAGGGGUGGCCCUCAGUGCCCACACCACAUCGGUCCACGAUGGAAGCUUUACCUGCUCGGCCAUCCCUUGGCGUGGCGACUUUCAUUUCUUGCAAAUGAUGAUGAUCUCUUCUUUCUUUCCCUGGAGACCUCAAACAUUCCUCUUUACAUUUGAAGUUCCCAAAUGAAUAUUUUUAAAAUGUAUUCUGCUGUGAAUUUGCCUUGUAAAUAGGGCCGGCUACCUCAUUUGCAGGACUCAGUGCAUUUUAAAAUGUGGGACCCUUGUUCAAAAGGCAGGAAAACAGCACUUAAUGAUACCAAAAUAUAAAGCUCUCCUUUCCUCCAUUUUUUCUUGACUUGCCG
This 3775-nucleotide long non-coding RNA is filed under the name Equus caballus (horse). RNAcentral describes it as "lncRNA (ENSECAG00000056278.1)". The record is from RNAcentral. Lineage: Eukaryota; Metazoa; Chordata; Mammalia; Perissodactyla; Equidae.